RNAcentral lists this transfer RNA (73 nucleotides) under Gordonia phage GodonK. RNAcentral describes it as "tRNA-Ala". It matches the Rfam family "tRNA". From Rfam's summary of the family: Transfer RNA (tRNA) molecules are approximately 80 nucleotides in length. Their secondary structure includes four short double-helical elements and three loops (D, anti-codon, and T loops). Lineage: Duplodnaviria; Heunggongvirae; Uroviricota; Caudoviricetes. RNAcentral also lists the same sequence under 1 other name. The record is from RNAcentral.
GGGCCGGUAGCUUAACGGUAGAGCGGCUGCCUUGCAAGCAGUUAGGUGGGGGUUCAACUCCCCUCUGGUCCAC